GACAGAGGUGCCAAGCGUUAGGCGGAAUCACUGGGCGUAAAGCGCGUGUAGGCGGCCAGAAAAGUCCGCUGUGAAAACUCGAGGCUCAACUUCGAGCUGUCGGUGGAAACUUUCUGGCUAGAGUCCGGAAGAGGAGAAUGGAAUUCCUGGUGUAGCGGUGAAAUGCGCAGAUAUCAGGAAGAACACCCGUGGCGAAGGCGGUUCUCUGGGACGGUACUGACGCUGAGACGCGAAAGCGUGGGGAGCGAACAGG
This 253-nucleotide ribosomal RNA is filed under the name uncultured bacterium. RNAcentral describes it as "partial 16S ribosomal RNA". It matches the Rfam family "Bacterial small subunit ribosomal RNA", at positions 524 to 776 of the family's 1533-position model. The record is from RNAcentral.